UACGAAGGGGGCUAGCGUUGAUCGGAAUUACUGGGCGUAAAGGGCGCGUAGGCGGUCUUGUAAGUCAGAUGUGAAAGCCCCGGGCUCAACCCGUGAGUAGCAUUUGAUACUGCGAGUCUUGAGUCCGGGAGAGGAUGGCGGAAUCCCCAGUGUAGAGGUGAAAUUCGUAGAUAUUGGGAAGAACACCGGUGGCGAAGGCGGCCAUCUGGACCGGUACUGACGCUUAGGCGCGAAAGCGUGUGGAGCAAACAGG
This 253-nucleotide ribosomal RNA is filed under the name uncultured bacterium. RNAcentral describes it as "partial 16S ribosomal RNA". It matches the Rfam family "Bacterial small subunit ribosomal RNA", at positions 524 to 776 of the family's 1533-position model. The record is from RNAcentral.